AAUUUCAGCUCUUUGAAGUGCUAGACUUAUUUCCAUUCUGCAGAUGGAAAUCACUGGAGCAUAACAGACAAGCACUCAAUUACAGCACAGCACUACUUAGCAUUGAAAUUUGUCUGAGGUAGAACUGUAUCGCUGUGCAUGUCCUUGGUGCAGUUGAGGCCUUGGAGCACACUCACAUAAGUAGUGUGACGUGUAGAGAAUAUACCCACACCACACUUCCACUUCCAUGUUUUGUUGUUGUGUCUUAACCGAAGAAGGCAAAGUUUAGCAACAUGUUUUCAAGGGCCUUCAGACAACAGUGUAAAAUCCAUGUGACAGAUUGCUGUAUUUUAUGACAAGGACCAGGGCAACUUACCUUGUCUUUUACAGAGAUAGACAGACCUGUCUGGAAAAGACAAAGGAGAUCACUAAGUAACUACAGAUACUAAAAUUAUACUGGUUUUAAGAUGAUCGAUGAAGAUGAACACUUAACAGCAUUCACAGGUGUGUACUAGUAAUCAGAUUAUUAGCAGAUUUCCUAAUGCU
This 525-nucleotide long non-coding RNA is filed under the name Chrysolophus pictus (golden pheasant). RNAcentral's name for it is "lncRNA (ENSCPIG00010011745.1)". Lineage: Eukaryota; Metazoa; Chordata; Aves; Galliformes; Phasianidae. The record is from RNAcentral.